Molecule: long non-coding RNA, 2101 nt
Filed under: Nilaparvata lugens (brown planthopper)
Lineage: Eukaryota; Metazoa; Arthropoda; Insecta; Hemiptera; Delphacidae
Description: uncharacterized LOC120350103
Source: RNAcentral
UUUAGGUGUUUCUGAAGAGUAAAUAGUUGUUUUCUUUGGUGAAGCGCGCCACCUAUUGAAAUUUUAACUUUACUCACUUAUUUAAUUUCUUUAUGGAAUUGUGUAAAAUAUUGUACAAAAGAAUCUAUCUUAGCCUAUAAAUAGAUAGAAAUUUUAUUGAGAUCAUAUUAUUAGAUAGAUUAUUGAAAUAGUUUAUAGUUAUAAUUUUGCUUUAGUGUUAAUGAAUUUUGAUGAAUAGUGGUGAAUAGCAGUGUUUCUAUUUCAUCAGAUUGUUGUAAAUAAAGUAAGGGAAUAAAGUGAAUCAAAAGAAGAGUUUUGAUAAAUGAUAAAAUACUUGAAAAUGUAUAUUAUUAUCACCUUAAUUGGGUAAUAGAGUAGAAAAAUAUUGGUUUCUGUAUGUAAAUAAUGUCAAGUGAUUUAUCUUUCAAAUUUUAUCAAGAGUGUAUGAAUUUUGUUAGAAUAAAAAAAAGGAUCAAAGAUAUAUAUAUAUAAAAAAAGGGGUAGGCAAAUGAUCAUUAGAGAUGGAACAUAUUCUUUGGGACUGAGAACUGAUUAAUUUUCUUUUGAAUUCUGAGUGUGGACGCAUGUUCAGAUAUUUCUUUGUUUGAAAGACUUCAAGUUUUUGUUGGGAGUGGCCAAUCCCUGCAUUAAUUUGUGGUCUAGUUUCUUCUGUUGUUAGAUUCUAAUUUUUUUUUAUUAUUUCAAUGGUUACUCAGCUAUUGAGUAGGUUCCACCUCUGAUCUUCAUUGAAUUUGUAAUCAAGAGUUUUUAUUUGAUUUUUAUUUGAUGUUGAGUUUUGAAUUAAUAAUUUUACAAAUAGAUGAUUUAUUUCUUGGAAUAAUUCAACUCUAAGAGUGAAUAUUUCUCAACUCAAAUUCUUAUGAAGCAUUCUUCUCUGAUAAAUUCUAUAUAUAUGUUAAUUCAACUUAAAAAUUAUCUUAGCUAGCUCAAAUUUUUUUUUUAGAAUGUAGCUUUCACACACUUGAGUGGAGGGAGUAUGUAACAAUUUUGGACAUGAUUAUUUUUAUCUUGUUUUUCUGUUAUUUCGGUUCUAAAUUCGAUUGUAUUAUCAGCUUGUUUUUCUCAGUGAGACAAAGAUGCACUUAUGGGAUCGAGCUGUACCCUUCGAAUAAUCUACUUUCUUGUUCUCUCCAGUUCUUUUUUGCUAUUUUCUUUCUCCCUUUUUCUGUCCUUGUUGGUAGCUUUGAGUUUGCAUUGCUCUUUCUCUCUAGUUUCUUUGUCUAAUUUUGAUAAUUCCGUUUUGCUUACGUCACUGUCUUGUUUGCUACCCCGUCUUCAACGCUCGAUGAUCCAUUCUGUCUCUGAAUUUCGUGAGUGGAGGUUGUAAAUUUAACUUUUUCCUUUGAUUCCAUUUUUAUUUAGCUUAUGCUAAAUUUUUCUAUUUAUUACAAUAUGUAGUUGAUCAGAGACAGAUUUCAUUCAUCACAAGUUGUGAUAUUAUUAUUAUUUUCUUUAUUUUUUUUUAUUUCCUUUUUAAAUAUGUAAAUUUUCUUGUUUGUUAUUAAAAAAAAAAAAAAAAAGAAAAGUAAUCAUGUCCGAAAAUUUAAUUGAGUAUUCAUUCUAGCUGGCCUAAGUUAUGGCAAUUUAUUUAUAUUUGUUGAAAACCUCAUUCAUCACAUAUGUAUCCAUAGUAAUUUCUACAAUUUCCGCUGUACAGCGGUCAUAGACUCGUAGACUCGUAGACUCGUAGACUCGUAGACUCGUAGUAUCACAGGAUGUCUUAGUUAUGGCCAUGGAAGCUGAAUCCUUGCUGACCAACUCAUCACAAGGAAACCAAUAUUUCCAGAAAAGAUCUAAAUUCGCCGUAAAAAGGAUACUUCAAGAACUUCUUGUGCAGUGAAAAAUUAAUAAGUGAAAAAUUUGAAUAAAGUGUACGGAGGCCUCCUCACUUCAAUACACCAGGUAUUUACGAAACAACCAAUAUUAAUUUAUGGAAAAUUCACAGGCAACUACUUCGCAAAAAUAAAUGGGACAGGAUAAUAAAUAAAUUUGUAAUUACUUGAUUUAAAUUUUGUUUAUUUUUUGGAAAUUCUAUUUAUUUGAUCUAUUAUGUAUAUUAAAUUGCAAACAUGAUUACAAU